Molecule: ribosomal RNA, 428 nt
Filed under: uncultured Dinobryon
Lineage: Eukaryota; Chrysophyceae; Chromulinales
Description: partial Bacterial small subunit ribosomal RNA
Rfam family: Bacterial small subunit ribosomal RNA
Source: RNAcentral
CUUGAGAGUUUGAUCCUGGCUCAGAACGAACGUUGGCGGCAUGGAUUAGGCAUGCAAGUCGCGGGAAUGCCCCGCGAGGGGUGGAACCGGCGUAAGGGGCAGUAAGGCGUGGGUACCUGCCGCGGGGUCCGGGAUAGCCCUUCGAGAGAAGGGGUAAUACCGGAUGACCUCGGGAGAGCAAAGGUCCGCCGCCCUGCGAGGGGCCCACGUGGUAUUAGGUAGUUGGCGGGGUGACGGCCCACCAAGCCCGGGAUGCCUAGCGGGUGUGAGAGCACGACCCGUGCCACUGGCACUGAGACACUGGCCAGACACCUACGGGUGGCUGCAGUCGAGGAUCUUCGGCAAUGGGGGCAACCCUGACCGAGCGAUGCCGCGUGUGCGACGAAGGCCUUCGGGUUGUAAAGCACUGUCGAGGGGGAGAAAAGCGC